Molecule: non-coding RNA, 5713 nt
Organism: Rattus norvegicus (Norway rat)
Lineage: Eukaryota; Metazoa; Chordata; Mammalia; Rodentia; Muridae
Source: RefSeq, a predicted model, not a curated record
UGUAUGUAUAUGUGUGUAUGUAUAUAUAUAUGUGUAUAUGCAUGUGUAUGUGUGUAUUGUAUUGUGUGCAUUGUGUGUGUAUGUGUUGUAUGUGUGUCUAUAUGUGUCUGUGUGUAUGUGUGUGUGCAUGUGUAUGUGUGUAUGCAUGUAUAUGUGUACAUUGUAUUGUAUGUGUGUAGUGUGUGUCUGUGUGUGUGUCUGUGUGUGUAUGUAUGUAUAUGUGUGUAUGUGUAUGUGUGUGUAUGUGUGUGUCUGUGUGUGUCUGUGUGUGUAUGUGUGUAUGUAUAUGUGUGUAUGUGUAUAUGUGUGUAUGCAUGUAUAUGUCUAUAUUGUAAUGUGUGUGUAGUGUGUGUGUCUGUGUAUGUGUGUCUGUGUCUGUGUGUCUGUGUCUGUGUGUAUGUGUGUGUCUCUGUAUGUGUGUAUGUGUGUGUGUGUGUGUGUGUGUGUGUGUGUGUGUGUGUGUGUAGAUGUACUUACACAUCCCACAUGCAGGUAAAGACCAGAGAACAGCCUCAAGCAUGAGUCCUCAGAGCUGUCCAGCUUGUUUUCAGAGACAGCAUCUUUCCCUGGGACAUGAACUUGCUGAUCAGGCUGGGCAGAGUGGACUCUGGGGAUCUUCCUGUGUCUGUCUUCCUCACCUGGAUUAUAGUACAUCCUACCACACAUUCAGGUUUUAUGUGGGCGCUGGGAUCAAAUACAAGUUCUCAUGUGGAGAUCUCUCCAAAGCCCCUACUGCUUUUCUAGCCCAGUUUAGCUUCAGCUUUCUCACCUUCAUCUCCCAAGUUCUGGGGUUAAAAUCAUUAGCUACCAUGUGCCACAUGAAGAAGGGUGGGUACAAAUGUACAAUCAAUUUAUUUGUCUUUUUUUCCCCUCUCUCCCAUCCUUCCUUUCUUCGUGAGACAGAGUCUUACCAUGUAAAUCUGGAUGACCUAAAAUGUGCUAUGUGGACCAGGAUGUCUUCACACUCAAAGAGACACACCCGCCCCUGUCAGUGUGGUUCUGGGAUUAAAGGUGUGGCUUAGGAUCCUUUCAAGCUUUGGGUAGUUUGGGGAAGGCAUAUGCUUCUAGGAAUACCUUGGAAACAACGCUGAGAGCAGAGGUGAGGACUGGGCUGGAUUUCCAGAAAGGACCAAGUCUGGAGAAGACUCGGAGGAACACAGAAAGAACAUUUGCUGGUAACACUCUGCCCUUCCUGCAGCCUGUGUUCUCCUGAAUGUCACCCUGGAGAGCAGGGUUUCUCCCAGACUGCCCGAGCUCUGAUCUGGAUGAGGAUCCUAGGCUACAGAGGGGAUGAAACAACGGCAUUUGAAGGGGAAACUCCCUCACUCUCUCCUCCCAGUGACAUCCACAUCAGGCUCGCUACUGGUGUGGCAUGACAGAUUAUCAUCUAAACCCUCCUGGGCCAGACCUCAUUCCUCCUGAGGAAUUCUUCCAGUGAGAGAGAGAGAGAGAGAGAGAGAGAGAGAGAGAGAGAGAGAGACCGAGACCAACCAAGAAACCCCAGGACCCACGGAAAGAACCAACUCUCAACUGAAUGUUGUCCUCUGAUCUCUGCAUGUGCACCAUCCAGGGUCUCUCACUGGCCUGGAACUGAUUACUAGCUGGUUGGCUAGCUCCAGGGAUCCAAGAGUCUCCGCUCCCUCAUCUUUAGCCCUGUUUCCCACAAUACUGCACAGGUGCUGUGCACACGAAGUCAUGCCAAGUCUGAGGUAGAAGAUACUGAGCACAGAGAUCCACCAUCUUGUAGCCUCCAGGUCGCCAGCCUCAGGCACUUCCACUUGGGACUUUCUAUUGAGGCCAGAACACAACCUUUGAGCAUGAAAACAGCAAAUUGGAGUCCACAGGACAGAGCACUUCCUAAGUGUCCACAGAAGACUGUUGCUGGCCCAAAUGCUUGCUUGUGGGGAGACUCCUGAGCACUGUGGCACUCUGGAUGUCAUCGAACCCAUGAGGCCUGUUAUCCUGUCACCCAGAAAGCCUGGGGACACCACCACCACUUCACACAACACCAACUAUCCCUGUGGUGCCUCCUUCCAUUCUUUCUAGAAUGUUCCCUGAGCCACAGCCCAGAAACUCUCCUGAGUGGAAGGUCUACCACCUUCUGCAGGCUUCCUCUUUGGAGACCUGAGUCACAGGAAAGGUCACGCCCCCUCCACCAUGUGCUUUGUGCAUCCCUCACCAAGACUUCAUAGUCCAAGCUUAGACUUUUGGAAAGAGAAGCUAAUGACUGAAGAAAGAUGGAGAAGGGGCUAGAGAGAUUGCUCAGUGGUUAGAGCACUGACUGCUCUUCCAGAGGUCCCGAGUUCAAAUCCCAGCAACCACAUGGUGGCUCACAGCCAUCUGUAAUGAGAUCUGAUACCCUCUUCUCAUGUGUCUCAAGACAGCCAUCGUGUUUUAUAUAUAAUAAACAAAUAAAUCUUAAAAAAAAAAAAAAAGAAAGAAAGAUGGAGAAGGAGGAAGUUACCCUGAGGAAGAACAGGUGAGAGGUGGGGACCCUGGAGAGAGGUAUUCUGGGAUACCCGUGGGUCCUGCAUUCUGCAGCAAGGUCACCAUUAUACAGUUACAAUGCAAGUGAAAUCAGACCAGCAGCUGCCCUCUGACCCUAGCCAGGUUGGUCUUUUACUCUCAGAAUUUGGUAAUGAGACGAGACAACUCUCAUCUCUGGUCCUUUCCUAAAGACACCUGAAGCAGAGAGAUCAAAGCUAAGAGGCUGGAGAGCUGGUGGCAUGGUAGAGCCUGAGACCAGAGCUCGGGAGGCCGCCUGCCUGCUAUUACUUGUGGGAAUCCAGCAACCAACCAGCCCAGGAAGCUGAGUGACCCCCCUCUAUCAGUCAGUCCCCUAGCAGCCAGGAUUGAAUGGAUAACCAAAAACCCCUCUGUUUCUUUUCUCUCCCAACUUUGGACCAACCAGAGAAAUAUGCCACCAACUGGCGAGCCCAUUCCUGUGGGGGUUUUUACCCAAAUGAUUUUCAACCUGAACAACCAGAUUUCGUUUUAUGUCUUUUUUUUGGGGGGGGGGCAGCAAGAAUGUUUUGCAUUAUCGAUGUCUCUCAUCUCUUCCACUGUCCCCAGCUCCAUUAUCAGCCCUGGGAGGCUUCCCCAGCCUCGCUCAUUCUGAGACGUCAGCUAUCGAAGCUGAGAUUUCUACCCCCUUCCCGUUCCACUUUGUGCUUAUUCCUCUCUCUCCUUCCCAUCUGAUCCUGAACCUUGGUCUAGCACUGAGAGCCCCCCGGUGCAAUUAAAACUCCAUCAGGGAGACAGCCCUCGCAAGACAGAGCUGCUGCCGGCUCACUAAUGGAGGAUGCAAGGCAUGCGCAGAACAGCGUUCUGUCCAUUAGAGGCUCUGAGAAACUAAAGGGAGCCCCCUUUGACCUGCUUGCCGGGAAACUCAACUCCUGAGUAACGGAGCGGCCUCCGGAAGGGACAGUUUACCAGUCGAAGAGUGACUUCAAUACUGACAAGGGAAGUUGCCAGCAUACGGAGCUGUUACCCACCUGCCUGUGAUCCUGUCUGCCCGAGAAGGCAGAGCCCAGCAGGGAAGUCAUAGACCUCAUUGUCAGGACUUCAAACACCUUCUAUGUAUACGUGCAGUGCUCAUCCCAGGAAACCAGAGCUGGAGGUAAGGCUUUGAUUUGAAUUUUCUGUAUCCCAUAGCUUCAGAUUACCUGGAAAGUAGUCUGAAUAGGUUUUAGCUGUAGCUGUGGCUUUGUAUCUGUCGGGUCAUGUGCUAGUCAUUGCACUCUGAGUCCCCUGGUUGAUUGUCAGAAAUACCAUGAGUUAAAACUGUCUGUCGAUAGAGUGACCUGAGGCUUUGCAUCUCAGUCCUACAUUAAGCACUGCUGGAUUCCUGGCUUUCCUCAUAGUGAGAUGAGAAAAUGCCAAGUAAGUAAGUGUCUGGGAAACGAGUCUUGUUUACUAGUAGUCACGCCAUUUUAUAGGCCCAGUGCAAAAGCUUUGAGAAACACAUAAGAGUUUUCCCACAUCAGAAACACUGAAAAGGCUUUUAAAAGACCCUGGACCCUUCACACCACCUGAGACCCAGGAGUUCAGUGAGUUGUGAGCAUUCUAAGCCAGCAGGUAGCAGAACUGGGAUCUGAACCAGAUUUCUCGAUGGCCAAACCCUAGCUCUGGCUCAUGAAGCUAGCUCAUGGAGUUCAAAGGUCAAGGGACACCUGAGUCACACGGCAGAUGUGCUAUGGGAGCACGCUGGUCCCUACCAGGCUUCCUUCACAGUAAGAACAGUGUUCUCCCAAGUGGGCCACUUCAGAAUCCGUCUCACAAGUGUGCUGAUCUCGGAGAGGAACCUUUGGGAAUCCUUCUUACCAAGGGGAUUAUUUGAUAUUUUGAAAAGAAAAGCGGGGGUGUAACUGGGGGUGUAGCUUAGCUGGCAGAAUAUUGCUUGCCUCACAGACACAAGGCCCACUGUCUAGUCUCUCGAAUGGUGGAACACACCUGCCAUCUGGCACUUUGACGGUGGAAGCCGGAAGAUCAAUAGUUUAAGGUCAAGCUUUCUACAUGGGUUGAGGUCAGCCUGGGAUAUACGAGACCCUGUCCCUCCCCUCGCACCUCCCCCCAAAAAAGAGAAAGUUCACAUGCCAGCUAAUUGCUUGAAGAUCAUUCCCACUAAGCCAGCCCACAUCCUUUACAUUCCGACUCAAAAAGCAUAGCUUUUAAAAAAUGUACUUACAUUUAUUUUAUCUCGUAUGUGUUUUGUGUGUACAUGCUUGCAUGUGUGUGUGUAUAUGCGUGUACGUGUCUAUCUGUAUGUAUGUGAGCAUGUAUAUGUGUAUGUGAGUAGGUAUGUUUGUGUGUUAAUGUGUGUAUGUGUGUGCAUGUUUGUGUAUUGAUGUAUGUAUGAGUCUGUGUAUGUGUGUGACUUAGUGUGAGUGUAUGUGUGGUUAUGUGUGUAUAUGCGAGCGUGCAUGUGACCGUGUGUAUGUGUGUAUACAUAUGUAUAUGUGUAUAAUUGUGUGUGUGAUCGUGUGUGCAUGCAUAUGUGUGUAUAUGUAUGUGUGUACCCGUACCACAUGGCACAUGUGGAGAUCAGAGGACAGCUUGCUGGAGCCAGUUCUGUCUUCCUAUCACAUGGGUUCCAGGAACCAAACUUAGCUCAUCAGGUAUCUUGGGCACUUUUCUGUUCUGAUGAUGAACCACAAUGAUCAAGGCAAGUUAGAGAAGAAGGAGUUUAUUUGGGCUUACAGUUCUGGGGAGAUAAAAGUCCAUCAUGAGAUGGAAACACCAGGUAUAGUGACUGGAGAGGCAAGCUGAGGAACCACAUCCUGAACCAAGCACAAACCAGCAGGAGCCGGCUCACAGUGGCUACUUCCUCCGGCAAGCAAUGGGCCCUCAACUUCCGGGUGUUCAAAUACGUGAGCCUGUAGGGAACGUUCUUAUCUGAAGCCUUGCCUCAGGCUUGGUGGCAGAGCCACCCGCUGAGUCACCCCCAUCUCUGUCUUUUUAUCUUUUUCAAAUAUCAGCAGAGAGAACCUAAGCAUGCUUUCCCUGGCGCCUGGGCUUUCUCAGAGUUUCUCCCGAACUACUCUCCUUGACUAACUUAGGAGUGACUUUCUCAUGUGGUCCAUCUCUCUUCCUCCUGCUGCCUGCAUUUUCAGCUUGCCUGGCCUGUCGUGGGUUUUUUGUUUGUUUGUUUGUUUGUUUGUUUUCUCAAAUGCUAAUACAAUUGUUCUCCGGUUUCAAAAAGAAAGGAAGAAAA